This 221-nucleotide non-coding RNA is filed under the name uncultured Gellertiella sp. The record is from RNAcentral. Lineage: Bacteria; Pseudomonadati; Pseudomonadota; Alphaproteobacteria; Hyphomicrobiales; Rhizobiaceae.
AGGUCUGGCGUACGAGCGGAUCGGCGAAGUUUGACAGCUGGAACGGGUCGAAAUAGCCGCCCGGAUUGGCCGUCAUCCACGAAUAGAUGCGGCUCGAACCCAGCCAUUGCAGCAGCAGAUAACAGGCCUCCGGCGCCUUCGACUGCGACGAGAUCGAGGCGGACAGGUUGAGCCAGAGCACGGUCCGGCGGAUGAGCGCACCAUCCACCUCGCGGCCAGGC